Molecule: ribosomal RNA, 468 nt
Filed under: uncultured bacterium
Lineage: Bacteria
Description: partial 16S ribosomal RNA
Rfam family: Bacterial small subunit ribosomal RNA
Source: RNAcentral
GACGAACGCUGGCGGCGUGCUUAACACAUGCAAGUCGAACGGAAAGGCCCUGCUUUUGUGGGGUGCUCGAGUGGCGAACGGGUGAGUAACACGUGAGUAACCUGCCCUUGACUUUGGGAUAACUUCAGGAAACUGGGGCUAAUACCGGAUAUGAGCUCCUGCUGCAUGUUGGGGGUUGGAAAGUUUCGGCGGUUGGGGAUGGACUCGCGGCUUAUCAGCUUGUUGGUGGGGUAGUGGCUUACCAAGGCUUUGACGGGUAGCCGGCCUGAGAGGGUGACCGGCCACAUUGGGACUGAGAUACGGCCCAGACUCCUACGGGAGGCAGCAGUGGGGAAUAUUGCACAAUGGGCGGAAGCCUGAUGCAGCAACGCCGCGUGCGGGAUGACGGCCUUCGGGUUGUAAACCGCUUUCGCCUGUGACGAAGCGUGAGUGACGGUAAUGGGUAAAGAAGCACCGGCUAACUACGUG